This 335-nucleotide ribosomal RNA is filed under the name uncultured Psychromonas sp. RNAcentral describes it as "bacterial SSU rRNA". It matches the Rfam family "Bacterial small subunit ribosomal RNA", at positions 8 to 344 of the family's 1533-position model. Lineage: Bacteria; Pseudomonadati; Pseudomonadota; Gammaproteobacteria; Alteromonadales; Psychromonadaceae. The record is from RNAcentral.
AGAGUUUGUCCUGGCUCAGAUUGAACGCUGGCGGCAGGCCUAACACAUGCAAGUCGAACGGAAACAGAAAGUAGCUUGCUACUUUGCUGUCGAGUGGCGGACGGGUGAGUAAUGCUUGGGAAUAUGCCAAAACGUGGGGGACAACAGUUGGAAACGACUGCUAAUACCGCAUAAUGUCUUCGGACCAAAGCAGGGGACCUUCGGGCCUUGCGCGUUUUGAUUAGCCCAAGUGGGAUUAGCUAGUUGGUAAGGUAAUGGCUUACAAGGCGACGAUCCCUAGCUGUCUUAGAGGAUGACCAGCCACACUGGACUGAAACACGGUCAGAAUCCUACGG